This is an RNA transcript of Peromyscus leucopus (white-footed mouse), 2750 nucleotides long. It is a transcript of the gene named zinc finger protein 431-like, with no coding region annotated. The transcript has 5 exons. The record is from RefSeq and is a predicted model, not a curated record. Lineage: Eukaryota; Metazoa; Chordata; Mammalia; Rodentia; Cricetidae.
CAGGCCUCACUAGCCAAUCAGGCCCUCCAGGAACCUACCAAUCAGAAGUUGUGCAGGGUCCUUCCGGCCGCGGGCUUCGGGCUUGGCUUUGAAGAGAAGCCGGGGCCUUUCAUUUGGUGUGCUGUGUUAUGAAUGCUGCAGAGAGCUGAGCAGGGAACAUGGAUGAGCUGGAAAAUCUUGACAUGAAUUCAGUGACCUAUGAUGAUGUGCAUGUUGACUUCACUAAAGAAGAGUGGGCUUUGCUGAAUCCUUCCCAGAAGUAUCUCUACAAAAAUGUGAUGCUGGAGACUUACAGGAACCUCACUAUUAUAGGAUACAGUUGGGAAGACCAUAAUAUUGAAGAACAUUAUCAAAGUUCUAGAAGAUAUGGAAGGCAUGAAAGAAGCCAAACUGGAGAGAAACCUUCUGUAUAUACUCAAUGUGCCUUUGCAUAUGAUAGUCAGCUUCAAAGUCAUGAAAGAAUGCAUACUGGAGAGAAACCCCAUGAAUGUAAUCAGUGUGGUAAAGUCUUUGUACAGCACAGUCAUCUUCGAAGACAUCAAAGAAUACAUACUGGAGAGAAACCCCAUGAAUGUAAUCAGUGUGGUAAAGCCUUUGCACAGCACAGUCAUCUUCAAAGGCAUCAAAGAACACAUACUGGAGAGAAACCCUAUGAAUGUAAUCACUGUGGUAAAGCCUUUGCACGUCUUAGUACUCUUCAAGUGCAUAAAAGAACACAUACUGGAGAGAAACCCUAUGAAUGCAAUCAGUGUGGUAAAGCCUUUGCUUAUCACAAUACUCUUCAAAUGCAUGAAAGAACAUAUACUGGAGAGAAACCCUAUGAAUGUGAUCAGUGUGGUAAAGCCUUUGCAUGUUACAGUUAUCUUCGAAAGCAUAAAGGAACACACACUGGAGAGAAACCCUAUGAAUGUAGUCAAUGUGGUAAAGCCUUUGCACAACAAAGCAGUCUUCAAAUGCAUAAAAGAGCACAUACUGGAGAGAAACCCUAUGAAUGUAGUCAAUGUGGUAAAGCCUUUGCACAGCACAGUCAUCUUCAAAUGCAUAAAAGAACACACACUGGAGAGAAACCCUAUGAAUGUAAUCAAUGUGGUAAAGCCUUUGCACAAUAUAGUAAUCUUCAAGUGCAUACAAGAACACAUACUGGAGAGAAACCCUAUGAAUGUAAUCAGUGUGGUAAAGCCUUUGCACAUCACACUCAUCUUCAAAUGCAUACAAAAACACAUACUGGAGAGAAACCCUAUGAAUGUAAUCAAUGUGGUAAAGUCUUUGCACGUCACAGUAAUCUUCAAAUGCAUAAAAGAGCACAUACUGGAGAGAGACCCUAUGAAUGUGAUCAGUGUGGUAAAGCCUUUGCACGUCACGGUACUCUUCAAAUACAUAAAAGAACACACACUGGAGAGAAACCCUAUGAAUGUAACCAAUGUGGUAAAGCCUUUGCACGUAAGAGUAAUCUUUUAAAGCAUAAAAGAACACAUACUAGAGAGAAACCCUAUGAAUGUAAUCAGUACGAUCCCUUCACAGCUGUAGCUAUAUCCUGACCUCUGAGUCAGGGUACAUUUCUCUCCAAAGCUGUAACACUUGCACUAUGAAAUGUUAGACCCUUGAAUCUUGUAGCAGGAAUUACAGAAAGUUGUCAAAAAUCUUACCUUGAUCCUGGGAAUGAACAUUUCUUAACUGCCCAGCCAUGUCUCUAGUGCUUUAAAUAUUUUAAAGCCUAUUUAUAUCAUUUUGAAGUCAGAAAAUGGGAACAAACUCACACAAGAGAAAAACCUUAUUUAUAUAAAUGAUUUGGUAAAGACUUUAGACAUCACAGUUAUCUUCAUCUUCAAAAAAAAUCACAUUUCAUUUAUUUUUCAUCGUAGCCUUGAAGGAAGUAAAUUGCUUACCAUGUUCACUGAAGACUGAUGGAAAUCACUGCAUUGUGGUUUCUAUUUUGAAACAUCUGAGGUCUCCAGAAGAGGCGCUACCAACGUCAAGAAUAAUCUGAAGUGAAGGAAUCUAAUACACCAAGCUCUUUCAUUCAUCCACUUUAUUCCUCUGUAACAAAGUUCUGCCAUUCCUCUUGGGUCACCAGUCUACAAACUCACCAGCAGCCACUCUUCUACAAUACAGUGCAAAAUCUUUCAAGGUCCCCACAAGAACAGUGAGAGUCAGCUUCAUUUGCAAACCAAAAGAGGCGUGAAUAAAGGAGAAGUAGGGUCAGAUAAGGCCUAAAGUAAGUCCAAAAGAUAAUUUAUAUGCUCAAAAUAUGUCCCUAGAAGUGGUUAGGUGAAACAUUAUGAGUCCAUCAUAAAUGUGCUCAAACUACAGUCUUACAGAUGGUGAGGUAAGAGAGUCUAUGAUUCACUAAAAUAAAACUGCCUUUAUUUUCCUAUGUCACCAUUUUCUGGCAGGGCAGGGAAAGGAUACUUGAUAGCUAGGUAACUUGCAUCAGAGCUUGAAGCACCUGGUAAGAAGUAAACCCCUUUGUUCUAAGUAAGUUGUCCUGUGGUGCCACUUGGGGUGUGAGAGAAAGUGAGGUCUGAGUUUAAUUUGCACAAGAAGCAAAGCUAUGUGUGUAACAUCUGCCUGGCCAAGGUAGUGUCUUCAUAUGGGUGUUUACUUUAAUUCAGGGGCCUCAGGGGCCUAGCAGGUUUGUCAUUUGUCCUUGGAUCCUGUCUGGAGUUGUCCCUGACUUUGUGUAGCAGGAAUCUUAAAAAGUUCUUAUUAAUAAGAACAAACCUGGAGCCAGGUAUUGGGGUGAACCCUGG